UUGAGUGAGGAGCUCAUGUGCCACUAGUGCGCUGACCCACAGGGGACGACGCGUUGAGAGAUAGCUAAAACGCAGCGGCCAAGGCGAUGACCCAUAGGGGACUUCGUGUCAGGUGCGUCUAAACUUUGUAAAGUUGAGUGAGGAGCUCGAUUCGAGGUGAUUCAGAAGUUAAAUGAUUUGACAACUAUUGCGUAUUUCCAAGGUGACAGUUGGGUGCCAUGCCCAUUCUCCUAAAAGGCUGUUACGGCUACUUAUUAUUGACGACUGGUGGUGCCGAGGUGACGUGUUUUAAGCGAGCGUGAAGGUUAUAGUGACAUCUUGGGCGUAGAUCAAAUCUGGCGUUUCAUUUCAAUGGUUUAGAUUGAAGGCGCGAUGAAUGGCUUAGAUUGAUCGCAUUUGAAUUCAACGGUGGAGAUCGGAUGGGUCUUUCUAUAAAAGGCGGACUCUGAGCUUUUCUCAAGCUUUCAUCCUUGUGAAAACAGACAAUACACUUUGCUCUCAAGCCAUUUGCGAUUUUCGACAUUUUCUAAGCAAUUCCGAUGAGAAACUUGAACUUCCGACAAGAAAUACCAAUAUCCGGCGACCUUACACCAUUUCCAGUUAGGAAAACCUUCAAACUUGUAAGUUUCAGUACCUUUUAGGAUUUUUAACUUUUGCAAAAUGGCUUCUGAGGGGAGUUCUGGUUCGGGGAGGGGGUUAGAACUAGUGAGGAUGGACAAGCCCAUUGUGGCGGCCUCUUCAGAAAUAGCCGAGACAAUAACAGAGGGGAUAAAUAUAUGGAAGCGACUGGAUAGCCCAGCAGAUACUUCUGUGCACUGGGGGCGUUGGACUACCCAUCUAAACUAAGAGAGGCCGACCUGGAGAGACUUAUGGUAGAGUAUAGGAUCCCAGAUAGCAUAGAUCUGAUCCUUCCCGAGCUCGAAGAGAGGGCCUGCUACCCUAGGCCGGGUUGUGUGGCCAUUAGUGAGGCGAUCCUUAGGACCGGAGUUAGGCUGCCAAUUCACCCAUUCUUUAGGAUGGUGCUUAGAUCCUACGGGCUAGCCCCGACCUAACUCAAUCUGAAUUCCUAGAGCCAAAUGAUGGGCCCCUAGAUGUUGUGGAAAGAGGCGUCACUAAAGGUGGAGAUGCCCUUUUUCAUCUUCCAGACCCUUUACAUACCUAAGAUAACUGUCGGGGGGAGGGGGAUAAGACCCGGGGGUGGCACUACCUUACUUCAUGGGGUUCUGAUGAGUGAAUUUCACUCAUUGAUUUAAUGUUUCUUAAGCUUGAAAUAUUUGGUUGUUUUCGAGAAAUGUAGAACGUUUUGAUGCGGGUAUUUGUGUUGCUUUAUAGGUAAACCAAUUUGGUGAAAUGGUGAGUUUGAAGGGUGGAAAAGAGUCAAAGUUACAUAGAAGUGAAUGGACAAGAAGAAGCAUCAAAAUGCACAUGAAAGACGAUGGAAGAAAGAAGGAAGAAAACCAACUAAAAAACAACUUGCCACAGUUGCAACGCCUAGGCGCCACAAAAAGGAGCAGAAACUCAGCGCCUAGGCGCCGCAAAACAGCGCCCAGGCGCUGUACACGCACAAAGGAAGCAGAACUGCAGCGCCUAGGUGCCACAGUGCAGCACCAAGCUGAAACAAGAUAGAGACGCAGCGCCUAGGCGCCACUUUUGUAGCGCCCAGGCAAUGCAUGCCGAGAAAGGAAAAACGCGAUUUUUCCAAAUAUUUUCGACCCAGCCCAACUCCAACUCGUAAUGUAAAUUAAGGGGAUUAUAAAUACAUAUUGACAGACCUAAGAAAAGGGGUUGGACAGCUGAAAAAGGGAGGCAAGGAGAUACACUAAUUGAGAGAAGAAUCACCGGAUUUUGGAGAAGAAAUCAAGCUGCAACCUAAGUUUUUCUUAUCUUUCUCUUCUCCAUGCGAUUUAAUUUGUAUUUUAUUGUGUUCUUCUUCUCAAUCAUGAACUAAUUUAUUAAAUUUAGGGUUUGAUGUAACCUAUUUGAGACAUG
RNAcentral lists this long non-coding RNA (1989 nucleotides) under Olea europaea (common olive). RNAcentral's name for it is "long non-coding RNA (OEUR_LNC008049)". Lineage: Eukaryota; Viridiplantae; Streptophyta; Magnoliopsida; Lamiales; Oleaceae. The record is from RNAcentral.